GCUUACGGCCAUACCACUCCGGAAUGCGCCCGAUUUCGUCUGAUCUCGGAAGCUAAGCAGGGUCAGGCCUGGUUAGUACUUGGAUGGGUGACCACCUGGGAACACCGGGUGCUGUAAGCU
Non-coding RNA from Larimichthys crocea (large yellow croaker), 120 nucleotides. Lineage: Eukaryota; Metazoa; Chordata; Actinopteri; Sciaenidae. The record is from Rfam.